GGCGGUUUGUCCGAGUGGUUAAGGAGUUGGACUUGAAAUCCAAUGGGCUCUGCCCGCGCAGGUUCGAACCCUGCAGCCGUCG
Eimeria praecox is the source of this 82-nucleotide non-coding RNA. The record is from Rfam. NCBI's taxonomy places the organism in Eukaryota, Apicomplexa, Conoidasida, Eucoccidiorida, Eimeriidae.